UCCCGGGCCUUGUACACACCGCCCGUCACACCAUGGGAGUGGGUUGCAAAAGAAGUAGGUAGCUUAACCUUCGGGAGGGCGCUUACCACUUUGUGAUUCAUGACUGGGGUGAAGUCGUAACAAGGUAACCGUAGGGGAACCUGCGGUUGGAUCACCUCCUUACCUUAAAGAA
RNAcentral lists this ribosomal RNA (172 nucleotides) under Salmonella enterica subsp. enterica serovar Enteritidis. RNAcentral's name for it is "partial 16S ribosomal RNA". It matches the Rfam family "Bacterial small subunit ribosomal RNA", at positions 1372 to 1533 of the family's 1533-position model. RNAcentral also lists the same sequence under 1 other name. Lineage: Bacteria; Pseudomonadati; Pseudomonadota; Gammaproteobacteria; Enterobacterales; Enterobacteriaceae. The record is from RNAcentral.